ACACGGGGCCGGCCCUGACGGCGCUCCCGGGAGCAGCCGGUGCGCGGCGGCGGCACGACCCCCUGCGCCUCCGAGGCAGACGAGCCCAUCGGGAGAAGGCGAGGCAGGGAAGUGCCUGUGCGUGUGGAAAAGGGGGUCUGUGGGGCGGAUGCGAGUGCGCGCGUGCUCGCGGACCAGCGAGGGAGAGUAGAGCAGUACCGCACUCUGCGCGGGGGCCCCUCUUCUGCCCCGUGUCCCCCUCUCCUCCCUCCGCGGGCAAACAGGCACGCACCUGCCUGCACAGAACCUCAGCCUCUGCCCGCGCCCGUCGCCCCUCGUCACUUGUUCCCCAGGAUCCUGUAAGGCACCCGCAUCCUUCCCGGCCACCCAGCUCCCUUCCCCUGUCACUCACUGUCGCCUUGAACCCAAAGUGCAGCAGGCGGUCCCUGCUCGGAGCCAUUUUCCUCCUCUUCUGGAUGUGUCUAGAUUGGGGCAGUGCGGCUGCCGCCGCGCCUCCGCGGUUGCCGCCGCCGCCGCCUCCCCCGCCUCCCCCGCCCCAGUGCAUUACAUUACGGGGUGCUGCAGGGAGGCCUGGGGGGCCGGGGCCGGACGCUUGUCUCCCUGUGCAUGGCUCGGGAGGGCGAGGGUGGUUGCGCUGAGCAACAGGCCAAGUGCCCGCCCUGGUCCGGGGAUGGCUGCGGAGCUGCACCUGAGGCCGGGGGUCGGGGGUGCAGGGCUGGAGCCGGGCAACCCUUCCUUUGGCCGGGGUCGGGGCGCGCGUCCGUGGGGGUGGGGCGGGCGAGACCGAAGAGCCUUUGGUUUUCCUUGCUCGGCCGCCGCCGGCGCCCAAUGGGCUGCAGCGCCUGCCUGUCCGCCAAUCAGGGCGCUGUUUGGUGAGAGCUUCGGCCUGACGUCACUUUGGCGGGAGAAACAAGCGUGUGUGAGCGAGUAGGCGGGGGCGUUUUCCCGAUGGAAACACUUCAUCAGACUCCCGGGCUCCUUGUAUAGAAGCUGAUCUGUGUCAUCAUAUUAUAUUAUGUUUUAACAACUCUGGCCUUCAAGGUCUCAGAAUUUAUGACCGAAUUUCCACGAAGGAAUAACACAGGAUUUUGUAGUUUUGUUGCCCCUUCUAUGAGCAACAAACUACAAAAUUAUGUCCUAAGAGUGAACUAUUAGAAACUGUAUAAUAAAUUCCAGCACACCUGGCAGGAGCAGCAGCACUGCUAAUUGUAUGCUUCCAAAGCAGUUAUGAGUUGGUCUUCCUCACACCCCUUUUAAUUAGUGGUUUUAGCGACUGACUUGUUAUGCGUCUAAGAAAUUAACAAGAGCAACAAGUGCGGCAGAUCUUUAAGAACAGGUAUAUUUUAGCUGGAGGACAUAUUACCCAACUCUUAAAGCACUGUACAAACUUUUUCUUUUUUUUUUUUUUUUUUUUU
RNAcentral lists this long non-coding RNA (1415 nucleotides) under Homo sapiens (human). RNAcentral describes it as "HSALNT0389643". Lineage: Eukaryota; Metazoa; Chordata; Mammalia; Primates; Hominidae. The record is from RNAcentral.